This 444-nucleotide ribosomal RNA is filed under the name uncultured bacterium. RNAcentral's name for it is "partial 16S ribosomal RNA". It matches the Rfam family "Bacterial small subunit ribosomal RNA", at positions 354 to 796 of the family's 1533-position model. The record is from RNAcentral.
GUAGGGAAUAUUGGGCAAUGGUCGGAAGACUGACCCAGCCAUGCCGCGUGCAGGAAGACGGCCCUCUGGGUUGUAAACUGCUUUUAUCUGGGAAGAAAAAGGCCAUGCGUGGCAAAUUGCCGGUACCAGAUGAAUAAGCACCGGCUAACUCCGUGCCAGCAGCCGCGGUAAUACGGAGGGUGUGAGCGUUGUCCGGAUUUAUUGGGUUUAAAGGGUGCGUAGGCGGCUGAUUAAGUCAGCGGUGAAAGACUGCGGCUUAACCGGAGCAGUGCCGUUGAUACUGGUUGGCUUGAGUGUCGGAGGGGUACAUGGAAUUGAUGGUGUAGCGGUGAAAUGCAUAGAUACCAUCAGGAACACCGAUAGCGAAGGCAUUGUACUGGCCGACAACUGACGCUGAUGCACGAAAGUGUGGGGAUCGAACAGGAUUAGAAACCCGAGUAGUCC